CAAAACUUUCAACAACGGAUCUCUUGGUUCUGGCAUCGAUGAAGAACGCAGCGAAAUGCGAUACGUAAUGUGAAUUGCAGAACUCAGCGAACCAUCGAAUCUUUGAACGCACCUUGCGCCCGUCGGUAUUCCGGCGGGCAUGCCUGUCCGAGCGUCAUUU
This 160-nucleotide ribosomal RNA is filed under the name Phyllachora sp. Its description in RNAcentral is "5.8S ribosomal RNA". It matches the Rfam family "5.8S ribosomal RNA". From Rfam's summary of the family: 5.8S ribosomal RNA (5.8S rRNA) is a component of the large subunit of the eukaryotic ribosome. It is transcribed by RNA polymerase I as part of the 45S precursor that also contains 18S and 28S rRNA. The record is from RNAcentral. Lineage: Eukaryota; Fungi; Ascomycota; Sordariomycetes; Phyllachorales; Phyllachoraceae.